GCGAUUAAAAAAAUAAAGGAGUAUAUCCCUCUCCCUUAGUGUCUUUCCACUUCCGUCGUUCAGGAACAAACACUUCGCCUAAUUCUUUUGAAUCCCGGCCCGUUUUUUCCCCACUAACCAAUUACGUUACGACCAUUGAACAAACUUGGUUGACAAACAUAGUUUAUGCGCCGCUAAUGUAGCGGCUUGUCGAGCAUUUGACAAACUCACACCAUCCAUUUCAAAUAGGAUUUGUCCCGUAGACACACGAGCAAUCCAACCCGUAGGAUUUCCUUUUCCUCUUCCCAUUCUUACUUCUGUAGGUUUCCCGGUAAUAGGGAGAUCUGCGAAAACUCUUACCCAUAUCUUACCAUUUCUUCGGAAUUGUCCGCUCAUAGCACGAUGGAAUUGUCCUAUUAUAGCCCGACGCGCUGCUUCAAUGGCUCGAUAUGAAAGACGACCAGCUUUACAACUUUUAAUGCCAUAUCUUCCAAAACCAAGUUGUGUACCGUCCAGUUUGCAACCCCUACUACAUCUGCCUUUACGAUAUUUACUAUAUUUCGUACGUUUCGGAUAUAGCAUGUCCCCCCUUUUUUUUACUAUAUGAAAUCCACACUUUGACACCUAAGAUUCCGUAACGAGUAGAUACUUCCGCAGAAGCAUAAUCUAUUUUCUGGUUAAAUACAUUACAAGAUGUUUUUCCAUACUUUCCGCAUUCAGUUCUAGCUAUUUCUGCGCCUUCUAAUCGACCUGAACAACAUAUACGGAUCCCCUCCACCCCUUUUUUCAUUACUAAUGGAAUAUCCUUCACUAUUUUACUAAAAAUG
Molecule: unclassified non-coding RNA, 806 nt
Filed under: Hevea brasiliensis (rubber tree)
Lineage: Eukaryota; Viridiplantae; Streptophyta; Magnoliopsida; Malpighiales; Euphorbiaceae
Source: RNAcentral